RNAcentral lists this long non-coding RNA (190 nucleotides) under dengue virus type 1. Its description in RNAcentral is "dengue virus type I partial sfRNA1". Lineage: Riboviria; Orthornavirae; Kitrinoviricota; Flasuviricetes; Amarillovirales; Flaviviridae. The record is from RNAcentral.
AAGAAGUCAGGCCAGAUUAAGCCAUAGCACGGAAAGAGCUAUGCUGCCUGUGAGCCCCGUCCAAGGACGUAAAAUGAAGUCAGGCCGAAAGCCACGGAUUGAGCAAGCCGUGCUGCCUGUGGCUCCAUCGUGGGGAUGUAAAAACCCGGGAGGCUGUGACCCAUGGAAGCUGUACGCAUGGGGUAGCAGA